Molecule: long non-coding RNA, 953 nt
Organism: Mesocricetus auratus (golden hamster)
Lineage: Eukaryota; Metazoa; Chordata; Mammalia; Rodentia; Cricetidae
Exons: 3
Source: RefSeq, a predicted model, not a curated record
CCAGAUUUUUACUCCCAACACCGGUAACUUCCCGUAAAUCUGUACUGAAAUUUUAUCCUGCUCGCUGAGCCUCCACUGGCCGAAGGCCAGUGCAACAUUCCUGUUGUUUUAGGAGUGCGGAUACCUUAGCUGAAGGUUUUUCAAAUAAAGAAAAAAAUCAUAUCGAACCGGCACGAUGGAAGGAUUUAGGAACUUUGACCGCUUUAGGAACUUUGACCGCUCAAAAAAGACACAUCUAUUUCAGACAUCCAGAAGGGACCCCAGAAGAGGCACCUGCCCCACCUGGGGACAUCUGGGAGAGUGGCUUCCGGCCGCCUGGGGCUGUUCAGAGUAAGCAACCCUGAGCCUGUACCGAGGACUAAAGACCCAGCGCCUGAAUCCCAGGCGAGCAGUGCCACCCCACCCCACGCCCGGCCUGGCAGGGCAGGAAGGCGCUGAGCAGGAAUGCCAUGAGACAGAGACCACUGUGAUGCUCCUGUUAUUGAUGAAGAGAUUAACAUGCAGAGCAGGUGUGUUCUACAAUGACUCCCCAAAAGCCUGCCGACUGUGACCUCCUGUCACCUCCCCCGUGGUGACUCUCAGCUGCUGCUUCCGGGGACCAUCUCUGAAUGAGCCGCUGCACUCAAAUCCCUGUUCCCAGACCUUCUUCAGGGGUUCCAAACCAGCAGCCUUUUCUCCACAGUUUGGCCCUUAUGCCGUUUGCCUCCUGAGCAUCUCCUUCUGGAAGGUUUGUAAAUGUCCCCUUUUCUGUGACAUCACAUCCCACCCAUCAAGUUCCAGCAUCCUUGCAGGAGAACCUCCUUCCCCUGAGGUCCUGGCCUUCAUCCAGCCUUUUAGCUGCAGUUGUCUGUGGGCAGAUUUGAUUUUGCUCUCACUAGAAACUGUGACUUACUCAUCUUUGUAAACCAAAGCCUCAGAGGGGUGCUUUAUACAGAGUGGAAGCCUAAUAAAUA